ACAAAUCCUCUUGGAACAGAGCAAGGGUUCUAUAUAUCAGCAGACUUAAAAUUCUGCCCUCUCCGGGAAGUCCUUACCAAGUCUUCUAAAAUCUCCUUUAUUACUUCUUCGAUACAUUGCAAUGCCCAUCUGUUCCUUCCCACUGCUUACAGGGAGCAGCUACUUCGCAGACGUAACAAAAACACUGCAUCAGACAUAAACAACUGUCAGAUGUUGCUGAGACUUCUGAAGGGUACCCGUGAAUCAAGUAUGUACAAUUCUCAUUUAACUUUCGGAAGCAUGCUUUGCAAUGUCUUACGAUAUCUAAAAUCAUGAUGAAUUCAGGGUAUUCAUAAGUCCUCUAUUUUGAGCAUUUUUUUUUAUCAGUACACCAAAAUGUACUGAAGAUGCUGUCCAGUGUGCAAUUUAUGAGAGGAUAACUGGCGUUAUCCGCAAGCAAGCAAGCAGUUUAUUUUGGAGCAUAUUCUAAGGUACGUCGAGCUUUAUUCCUUCAACUUUAUGUGGCUAUGGCAAAAUCUUUGUAUUUUAGUCCCCUUUUUCUUCAUAAAGCAAAUGCAAGCAUGCAAUGUUCAUAUGUCCUGUAUGUUUCCUUUAUUAAACAUAUUAGAUGAGUCCAAAGGGCAAAGGAUUAUAGUAGUAAACUUACCAUGAUAUCAAUGGAUGAUUCAUUGUCAUAAAAAGUGCAGCAAGUUUAGAAUUUAGAUUGCCUCCCCAAGUUAGC
Molecule: long non-coding RNA, 721 nt
Filed under: Ananas comosus (pineapple)
Lineage: Eukaryota; Viridiplantae; Streptophyta; Magnoliopsida; Poales; Bromeliaceae
Description: long non-coding RNA (ACOM_LNC041135)
Source: RNAcentral